RNAcentral lists this ribosomal RNA (484 nucleotides) under uncultured bacterium. RNAcentral describes it as "partial 16S ribosomal RNA". It matches the Rfam family "Bacterial small subunit ribosomal RNA", at positions 30 to 507 of the family's 1533-position model. The record is from RNAcentral.
AUUGAACGCUAGCGGGAUGCUUUACACAUGCAAGUCGAACGGCAGCGCGGACUUCGGUCUGGCGGCGAGUGGCGAACGGGUGAGUAAUGUAUCGGAACGUGCCCAGUAGCGGGGGAUAACUACGCGAAAGCGUAGCUAAUACCGCAUACGCCCUACGGGGGAAAGCAGGGGAUCGUAAGACCUUGCACUAUUGGAGCGGCCGAUAUCGGAUUAGCUAGUUGGCGAGGUAACGGCUCACCAAGGCGACGAUCCGUAGCUGGUUUGAGAGGACGACCAGCCACACUGGGACUGAGACACGGCCCAGACUCCUACGGGAGGCAGCAGUGGGGAAUUUUGGACAAUGGGGGCAACCCUGAUCCAGCCAUCCCGCGUGUGCGAUGAAGGCCUUCGGGUUGUAAAGCACUUUUGGCAGGAAAGAAACGUCGCGGGCUAAUACCCCGUGGAACUGACGGUACCUGCAGAAUAAGCACCGGCUAACUACGUG